UACCUGGUUGAUCCUGCCAGUAGUCAUAUGCUUGUCUCAAARAUAAGCCAUGCAUGUGUUAGUAUGAACUAAUUCCAAUGGUAA
This 84-nucleotide ribosomal RNA is filed under the name Angophora subvelutina. Its description in RNAcentral is "partial 18S ribosomal RNA". It matches the Rfam family "Eukaryotic small subunit ribosomal RNA", at positions 1 to 85 of the family's 1831-position model. The record is from RNAcentral. Lineage: Eukaryota; Viridiplantae; Streptophyta; Magnoliopsida; Myrtales; Myrtaceae.